RNAcentral lists this long non-coding RNA (846 nucleotides) under Ananas comosus (pineapple). RNAcentral describes it as "long non-coding RNA (ACOM_LNC040714)". The record is from RNAcentral. Lineage: Eukaryota; Viridiplantae; Streptophyta; Magnoliopsida; Poales; Bromeliaceae.
UUUUCUACUUCUAUAUAUUCUUACUUUAUAUAUUUAUUAAAUGAUUUAGGCUUCUAUCUUUUCGAAAUACGAAAUUUUCGUACUUAUAAGUUUUUUUUGAUGAUGGGAUAUUCGAUUCGGUUGUCGAUUAUAUUAGAUAUAAUCUACGCUAUUGAAACUAUUUAAAAAUCAAAUUUUAUAAUUUUUUAACUUCAUUUGUCGAGUAAACGAGUAGUCUUAAAAGUAACGACUGAAAAUAAAAAUCACAUAAAAAAAAGUCAUAGAAGACUCAAAUUUUAAAUCAGAACUAUUGAUCUUACUAUUGAUAUUAAAUAGAAUUUUCUAUAAUUUGAAUUGUUGUGCACCGUUGAACUUAAAAACGUGCUACAUCAACCAUUAAAAUAGUCAUUUGUUAAAUCUUUUAAUCGUUUAGUAAAUAAUGUCGACAAAUUAUGAAAUUUAAUUUCUAAAUAGUUGCAAUAGUAUAGAUUAUGCCUAACGAAACAAAUCGUCGAAUAGGAUGUUCUAUCAUUAAGAAUAAUUUAUAAAUACAUAGACCACCGUACUUUUGAAAGCACAGAAAACGUACUCUUUUUUAUAUUAUAUUUAUAUAGAAAAAAAAAGAAAAACUUCAAAUACAUCUCUGUAGUUUCACACUUUCUUACUUUAAUACUUUGUGAUUUAUAAUGUAUCAAUUUAGUGUCCUGUAAUUUUAUUUUUAUUUUUUUAUUAUCAAUUUUACUAAUUUUUUUUUAUUAAAUCAGCUAUAAAGUUAAAACUAAAGAAUAUUAAAAUAAAUAUUCGAUAAACAUAUAUAGAGUAUUUAAAGUUUUGUAUAUAAUUUAAUGAAAUUUCAGAAAAAUUGAU